This 315-nucleotide ribosomal RNA is filed under the name Triticum aestivum (bread wheat). Its description in RNAcentral is "partial small subunit ribosomal RNA". Lineage: Eukaryota; Viridiplantae; Streptophyta; Magnoliopsida; Poales; Poaceae. The record is from RNAcentral.
AUGUUCAUGACUUUGAAAAAUGAUUGUGAAUUAUUCAUAAAUGUUAAAAAAAUCAUAAAAUAUUUAGGAAUUUUGAAAAUAAUUUCAUCCUUAAAAAAUCGCUGGUUUAAAAAUAUUCAUGAUUUCGAUACAUGUUCCUGCAUUUCAAAAAAUCUUCGUAAAAAUAUAUUUUUGAAUUCUAAAAAUUAUUCCCAAAUUUCAAAUAAAGUUCGUCGAUUCAAACAAAUGAUCACAAUUUUGGAAAUAUGUUUGCGAAUUAGUAAAAAUAUAUUUGCAAUUUUAGAAAAUGUUCACAAUUUCACAAGAUGUUCGUGA